RNAcentral lists this ribosomal RNA (254 nucleotides) under uncultured bacterium. RNAcentral describes it as "partial 16S ribosomal RNA". It matches the Rfam family "Bacterial small subunit ribosomal RNA", at positions 524 to 776 of the family's 1533-position model. RNAcentral also lists the same sequence under 1 other name. The record is from RNAcentral.
UACGGAGGGUGCAAGCGUUAUCCGGAAUCACUGGGUUUAAAGGGUGCGUAGGCGGUUUGAUAAGUCAGUUGUGAAAUUCCCCGGCUUAACCGGGUGGACUGCGAUUGAUACUGUUGAACUUGAAUCAGGUUGAGGUCGGCGGAAUGUGACAUGUAGCGGUGAAAUGCUUAGAUAUGUCAUAGAACACCGAUUGCGAAGGCAGCUGGCUAGACCUAGAUUGACGCUGAGGCACGAAAGCGUGGGGAGCAAACAGG